Molecule: ribosomal RNA, 94 nt
Filed under: Actinobacillus pleuropneumoniae
Lineage: Bacteria; Pseudomonadati; Pseudomonadota; Gammaproteobacteria; Pasteurellales; Pasteurellaceae
Source: RNAcentral
CUCUACCUGACUCCAUUCCGAACUCAGAAGUAAAACGCAGUAACGCCGAUGGUAGUGUGGGGUUUCCCCAUGUGAGAGUAGGGCAUCGCCAGAU